UUUAAAAUUGUUGCAGUUAAAACGUUCGUAGUUGAAUAUUAAAGAAUCCGAUGUUUCAUUUAAACUGGUUUGGAAAACCAAAUAUAUUAUAUAUUUUGCUUUGUUCAAAAUAAGGUUUUCUAAUAAAUUAUGUUUUUAUCAGAUAUGACAGAAUCUUUUUUAAAAUCUCUUCAAUAUGCUUUUAUUGCUUUUGAGAGGUUUUGUUACUUUGAGUAAAAUUAAGUGUUCAUAACAGACGGGUAGUCAUGAUUGAGUUCAUUGUGUA
RNAcentral lists this ribosomal RNA (265 nucleotides) under Plasmodium falciparum (malaria parasite P. falciparum). RNAcentral describes it as "partial 18S ribosomal RNA". The record is from RNAcentral. Lineage: Eukaryota; Apicomplexa; Aconoidasida; Haemosporida; Plasmodiidae.